RNAcentral lists this ribosomal RNA (459 nucleotides) under uncultured bacterium. RNAcentral's name for it is "partial 16S ribosomal RNA". It matches the Rfam family "Bacterial small subunit ribosomal RNA", at positions 338 to 795 of the family's 1533-position model. The record is from RNAcentral.
CCUACGGGGGGCAGCAGUGAGGAAUAUUGGUCAAUGGGCGCGAGCCUGAACCAGCCAAGUCGCGUGAGGGAAGACGGUCCUAUGGAUUGUAAACCUCUUUUGUCUGGGAGCAAAAGACGCCACGCGUGCCGUUCCGAGAGUACCCGAAGAAAAAGCAUCGGCUAACUCCGUGCCAGCAGCCGCGGUAAUACGGAGGAUGCGAGCGUUAUCCGGAUUUAUUGGGUUUAAAGGGUGCGCAGGCGGAUGAUGAAGUCAGCGGUAAAAUUGUGAGGUUCAACCUCUUCGAGCAGUUGAAACUGGUAGUCUUGAGUGAGUGAGAAGUAUGCGGAAUGCGUGGUGUAGCGGUGAAAUGCAUAGAUAUCACGCAGAACUCCGAUUGCGAAGGCAGCAUACCGGCGUGCAACUGACGCUGAUGCACGAAAGUGUGGGUAUCGAACAGGAUUAGAUACCCGGGUAGUC